This 85-nucleotide transfer RNA is filed under the name Sphingomonadales bacterium 32-64-17. RNAcentral's name for it is "tRNA-Leu". It matches the Rfam family "tRNA". From Rfam's summary of the family: Transfer RNA (tRNA) molecules are approximately 80 nucleotides in length. Their secondary structure includes four short double-helical elements and three loops (D, anti-codon, and T loops). Lineage: Bacteria; Pseudomonadati; Pseudomonadota; Alphaproteobacteria; Sphingomonadales. The record is from RNAcentral. RNAcentral also lists the same sequence under 2 other names.
GCGGGCGUGGCGGAAUGGUAGACGCCGGGGACUUAAAAUCCCCUGAGCAUUGCUCGUGCGGGUUCAAGUCCCGCCGCCCGCACCA